Molecule: long non-coding RNA, 1988 nt
Organism: Phalaenopsis equestris
Lineage: Eukaryota; Viridiplantae; Streptophyta; Magnoliopsida; Asparagales; Orchidaceae
Exons: 3
Source: RefSeq, a predicted model, not a curated record
UUUAGGGUUAAGGGUUAAGGUUUGUACAUAUUGUGAGUACUAGCAUGGUUGCAACUACAUUAUAUUAAUAAUAGAUGAUUGUCUCAUUCUUUCAAAAUACUGUGCUAUAGUGCUCUUCUCUGGUUCUACCAACUCAUUAUGAGUUAUUCAUACUUAGCUUUAUACUCCUCCAUGGAUAAGCUCUUUUGUUAUAAAUAGUGAAGCCUCAAAACGAAACCCUUCUUGUAGUGUGCUAGGAGAUAUUUGUGUUGCAUCUCAUUCAUCUUAGAGUAGAUCAUGUUCUAGCUAUUUACGUCCUCACAGGCACAGACACUUUUGAUUCUCUCACCACAUAGAAGUGCUUUGCUUUAAUUCUUCCCUUUGCAGAAUGUCUUUGUACUCAAAGAUCGAUUCCACAGUUUAAAGCCGUUCAAUAAACUCUUUUAGAUUCAUAUGACCAUAAAUAUCCAGUAAAUCAAUAUUUAUCUCAAAAUCACUCUCUCUUCUUUUAUACUCAAUAUCAAAUUGGUGAGAUAUUGGUUUCUCAUCACUUAAAACUUUUUGGUGGAAGGAGUUUUCAUCUUCUACAUCCGAUUAGCCACCAGUAUAGUUAUGGGUAGCUAAACUGUAAUUUAAGAAUUUCUCGCUGCAUAUCAUCCUUGGUAAGCUUUUUAAUAUUUCUUUGGUGCUUUUCUUUGUUGGCAUGGUAGAUUUCCUUGACUUGGUGUUUCGGCCAAGGCAGAGGUGGCAGUUUUUGAGUGGCUAAAGGUGAGAGAAACUAGGGUUAUGGUAGAGUAGGUAUAUUUAUAUGUUGGUAGAUGGAUUAGCUUAUAUGACUUUAGUUUAAAUGAAGGUUAAUAAAUUCCUAAAAUUUUAGGUUUUAUAUGGCUCUAAUACCAAAUGCCAUUUAUCCAAAACUCCUAGUGUUAUUUCAGGAUUAAGAGGUGGGGAUCUUGUAUCUAAAAGCAAAAUUUUGAUAAUAACAAUGGUAUGGAGGAGGAGGAGGAGGGGAAUAACUAUUAUGUGAAAACAGCUGAUGAUGAUGUCGGGGGUCUACGGAUGUAGAGGAGGAUCCACCUUUUAUUCCUAAUCAAGUUGCAAACACACCAUUUGCAAAAGGAAGAUGAUGCAACUCUUCAAAUAGGAGAAAUUCAAAGAAGAAAAACCUUUAAUGUUAUAUAUAUACAUAGCAAGCAAACAGAAAACCCUAAUUCAUCUCCUGGAUAUGGUAAAUAGCAGCACCAAAGGGGCCCUGCCAGUUCUUGGGGUAAAAUCUCUGAACCAGCCUUGAAAUUCAAUCGGUCGCAGUUUUGUCCAGUCCUGCUCAAUACCAUGCGGUUCACGGUUGCCCAACGUUACUGUUGCUAUUUUUGACUUCAAAUUAUACUAUAUAUCCUAAAGAUUGAAGAAGGAUAUAUUAAAGGGAUAGAUUGAAGAAGGAUAGAUUGAAGGGAUUCACGCAGCUUCAUUGGCUCCACCUAUCAAAUAGAAAUGUGCUUCGGUUGCGGUCUACAAAUUGGCUUACCUUUUGGCACCUUUACUCCAAGCAAAAAGUCUUAUCUAAUUAUAACUAAAAUAUUAAGUUGAGCAGUAAAGAAAAAGUUUUGAAUUCUUGUUUCGUAUUGAAUGUAGGAAAUCUGGAAUUUUGUUAAGUUCUAUUACUACUUGAAACAUAAACUCUGAUCUAAUUGGAAACAAAAACUUAAGUUGGAUACUAAGGGAACAAUCUUUGAAUUCUUGUUCUGUAUUAAAUGCAGGAAAUCCGCAAUUUUUCUUAGUUUUAUUAGAACUUGAAAGAGCAUUUCUUACCUUGCUAGGAUCUCUCCAUUCAUUUCCAUAGCCAAUAUGUUCAAGCACCGAACUUUUCUCAGCCAUCUCAGCAUGAAUAUAUGCCUGAGACAUACGGGAUCAUAUAGAAUAUGCUAAAAGCCUUUUCCGUAUUCAAAUACAUUGGUAGAGGACUACAGUGGGGACCAUAGAUGGUCUCAGUUUUAAUGGCUGAUGGUUCA